RNAcentral lists this ribosomal RNA (494 nucleotides) under uncultured bacterium. Its description in RNAcentral is "partial 16S ribosomal RNA". It matches the Rfam family "Bacterial small subunit ribosomal RNA", at positions 28 to 507 of the family's 1533-position model. The record is from RNAcentral.
GACGAACGCUGGCGGCGUGCUUAACACAUGCAAGUCGAACGGUGAAGCGCCUUCCUUUUUGGUGGGUGUGGAUGAGUGGCGAACGGGUGAGUAACACGUGAGUAACCUGCCCCCUUCUUCUGGAUAACCGCAUGAAAGUGUGGCUAAUACGGGAUAUUCUGGGUCUGUCGCAUGAUGGGUCUGGGAAAGAUAUUGUUUCGGUGGGGGAUGGGCUCGCGGCCUAUCAGCUUGUUGGUGGGGUGAUGGCCUACCAAGGCGGUGACGGGUAGCCGGCCUGAGAGGGGGGACGGUCACACUGGGACUGUGACACGGCCCAGACUCCUACGGGAGGCAGCAGUGGGGAAUAUUGCACAAUGGGCGCAAGCCUGAUGCAGCGACGCCGCGUGAGGGAUGGAGGCCUUCGGGUUGUGAACAUCUUUCUCCAGUGAAGCAGGCCUGCCGCGUUUGUGGGUGGGUUGACGGUAGCUGGAUAAGAAGCGCCGGCUAACUACGUG